This 652-nucleotide long non-coding RNA is filed under the name Triticum aestivum (bread wheat). RNAcentral's name for it is "long non-coding RNA (TAES_LNC004000)". Lineage: Eukaryota; Viridiplantae; Streptophyta; Magnoliopsida; Poales; Poaceae. The record is from RNAcentral.
CUAAUAUUUUGUAUGCUCCAUGCCGUGAGUUGCCACCUCUUGCCACAUGUUCGUGCUAAUUAUCAAGUAACCUCCUGAAUGAAUUGUGAUUGCGAUUAGUAUCUUUAGACGUUGGUCACUAGCUAUAGUUAGCACUAUUAGUCUGCUCGCUUAUGUAACCACUAAUGUGGUUGUUUGCUGCUUUUUUGCAGCCAUUUGAUCAAGUCAAAGGCAACAGAAAGGCACAAAGGCGAUCAAGGUCCUUAUGUACACCGAGUACUAUCUUUUGUCUACUAAUAAUUGCAAGUUAGAAAAAAGAAGUUCCAACUCUUUCAAGCAGUGUUUGUGUUUCUAUUGGGCAAAGCAAGAGUUUAUUGUAAAAAAAAAAGGAAACUAACUAAGUCAUGCAUUAUGUAUUUACUGGUGGUGUCUAAGGAGAACAUAUAUCCUACAUAGCCUACCUUCGAAUGCUUAUAUAAGCAUAUCCUUUGUACGGUUCUUCUUUUUUGACUUGGCACAUCUGCUCAUUUUUUAAUAGAUCUUCACCUAACUACCAAUGUUGUAAAACAUAAUUCUCUUUUUGAGGAUGCUUAUGUCUGAAACUGUUCAUCAUCUUUCCAAUAUGUUAUCCACAUAUAAAACCCAUCUUAGAUUUUAUAUCUUAUUCAUAAAU